UACGUAGGGGGCAAGCGUUAUCCGGAAUUAUUGGGCGUAAAGAGCUUGUAGGCGGUUUGUCGCGUCUGCUGUGAAAUUUCGGGGCUCAACCCCGAACUUGCAGUGGGUACGGGCAGACUAGAGUGUGGUAGGGGAGACUGGAAUUCCUGGUGUAGCGGUGAAAUGCGCAGAUAUCAGGAGGAACACCGAUGGCGAAGGCAGGUCUCUGGGCCACUACUGACGCCGAGAAGCGAAAGCAUGGGGAGCGAACAGG
RNAcentral lists this ribosomal RNA (253 nucleotides) under uncultured bacterium. Its description in RNAcentral is "partial 16S ribosomal RNA". It matches the Rfam family "Bacterial small subunit ribosomal RNA", at positions 524 to 776 of the family's 1533-position model. The record is from RNAcentral.